Long non-coding RNA from Choloepus didactylus (southern two-toed sloth), 519 nucleotides. RefSeq lists it as uncharacterized. The record is from RefSeq and is a predicted model, not a curated record. The transcript is spliced from 3 exons. Lineage: Eukaryota; Metazoa; Chordata; Mammalia; Pilosa; Megalonychidae.
GUGGAGCUGGGCACCGUGAACUUCGGUGUGAUUGGAAGGGUUUCUUCGUGGAGGACCGAGUUAGUGAGUUGUGAGGAUUGGAUACCUGCUGAGCUGAAGUCAGUCUGCGGAAUGUCUUCCAAAGUAACCAAGUCAAAGCUGAAAAGCAGCCAGCUUCUUGCCAGUCAAGAUGGAGCUGGCACACCUGCCUGGUGACAAAGGGAGCCUCAAAUGCCACACUAAAAGGAAGAAGACAAGAAUGCAUUCCAAGCCUCUCAACGUUACUUGUAAUACACUUUAGUUCACUGAUGAAGAAAAUAACAGUUACCUGUGUCUGUAGAAUAGACUCGGAAACUCUUAUCCCAGAAGCCACAGACCAGAAUAUAGCGGUUGUCCGAAGUAAUGACAAAGCACUGGGAAUGGACUUGAAUACUUUGGUCUAAAAGGUCAGUGAUUUGCCUCCUGUGCAUUCCUGUAUUGCUGGCUGUGAGAACAGAGGAAGAAAAAUAAAAACCCUACUAAACCCUGAUGGACAAAGAA